Molecule: long non-coding RNA, 1309 nt
Filed under: Phascolarctos cinereus (koala)
Lineage: Eukaryota; Metazoa; Chordata; Mammalia; Diprotodontia; Phascolarctidae
Description: lncRNA (ENSPCIG00000030968.1)
Source: RNAcentral
CCGCCGCCUAGUCCUGGGCGGGCGGCUCUGGGACCCGCGCUCCGAGCGUUCCUCCUCCGCUGCUGUCUCUGUUCCGGCUCCGGCUCACUGGGUCUUGGCCUCUUUCUCCAGCAAGGGCCGAUGCAGGGCAGCACCGACAGACAGACUGAUGAAUAGCCCGACGAAAAUCUGCCAGCCUGAGUUCGCAGAGCUUCUUUCGGCAGGGAAGUUCCCUCUCGAAAGUUUUGGUACCGCACCCAGGAGCCAUCGCACCCAGGAGCCGGAGCCGCAGCCGCCCGAGCCUCCCGAGCCGCCCGAGCCGCCCGAGCCUCCAGAACGGAAGCCGCUAGCCUGGGUCCAGAGCUGGGCCAGGUGAGCAGACAGGCCAGGAUACUUGCUGGCCCAAGACUACCAGAGAGAACCUGAGAGGAAUUAGGUCCGUCGGCGUGGGCCUCCCAUCCCACUUUUCCCGCCUCCUACGUUUAGACUGUGAGAAACAGAGUAGCGGAUGCUGCCCGGAGUAGGCCAGAGAACAGGGCCGAAGAACAGGUGCUACGCAAAGCCCCAGCAUUAGCGUUGGCCCCCAGGCACGGCAGCUGCGGGCCAGAGGGCAGCCUGCCAUAGGAGGGCCCAGAAAGAGCUCCCACGACCCUCAAGACGAGCCUGCUCGCCGACCCAGCUCUCCGCUGCGCGCCCACAAAGAGCAGCACACUCCCAGCCUUCAGGCCGCCAUAGUAGGGACGGUGGCCAUGGUGGUGCUAGCAGGGAGGUGGGCCUGAGCUCUGACCAGCUGCCUGCUGGGAAAGAUGGAAUCCCUUACUUUGAUGAAUGCCUUGCGAUUGUCCGGAAAGGGGCUGCUUGGGAUAGUGGCGGAGGCUAGCACCCACCUAACUACAAGCACUCUCCGCCUGUAUCCACCCGAAAGUUUUCCUGCCCUCUUAUCCUGGGCUUCAGGCUCCUAGGGACUGUCAGGCUGGGUGACUGCGCUGCUGUGUGUGGGUGGGUGAGUGGGUGUGGGUGUGUGUGGCUCUGGCUCUCUCUGUUUCUGUCUCUCGGGCUGAUUCUCUACCUCUUUCUCCUGCAGUCUUUUGCUCUCCCGGGAUCUAUGCCCAGGUCUGUUUGACUCUUCCCUUCUCUCCAGGAAAACUGGUGCGGUUCUCCGUGCUCGCUGCUCAAACUUAUAUUGGGGGGAGGGGUGUAGCAGGGAUGACCGGGAGAACCCCUUAACGAAUUUGGUGAGAACCGCACUCGAACGAUCAGCGGUUGUCCUGGUCACUCCACACACACACACAUCAAUAAAUUUCCCUUCUUCCCAACCUACUCGUCCUUC